Molecule: ribosomal RNA, 400 nt
Filed under: uncultured bacterium
Lineage: Bacteria
Description: bacterial SSU rRNA
Rfam family: Bacterial small subunit ribosomal RNA
Source: RNAcentral
CCUACGGGGGGCAGCAGUAGGGAAUCUUCCACAAUGGACGAAAGUCUGAUGGAGCAAUGCCGCGUGAGUGAUGAAGGAUUUCGGUUCGUAAAACUCUGUUGCGAGGGAAGAACAAGUGUAAAGUAACUACUUACACCUUGACGGUACCUCGUUAGAAAGCCACGGCUAACUACGUGCCAGCAGCCGCGGUAAUACGUAGGUGGCAAGCGUUGUCCGGAAUUAUUGGGCGUAAAGCGCACGCAGGCGGCCUUCUAAGUCUGAUGUGAAAUCCCACGGCUUAACCGUGGAAGGUCAUUGGAAACUGGAAGGCUUGAGGAUAGAAGAGGAAAGUGGAAUUCCACGUGUAGCGGUGAAAUGCGUAGAGAUGUGGAGGAACACCAGUGGCGAAGGCGACUUUCUG